GAUGAACGCUGGCGGCGUGCUUAACACAUGCAAGUCGAACGAGAAAUGGAGACGGAAACCUUCGGGCGGAAGGCUUCAUUUCGAGUGGCGGACGGGUGAGUAACGCGUGGGUAACCUGCCUCAUACAGGGGGAUAACAGUUGGAAACGACUGUUAAUACCGCAUAAGACCACAGCACCGCAUGGUGCGGGGGUAAAAACUCCGGUGGUAUGAGAUGGACCCGCGUUCGAUUAGCCAGUUGGCGGGGUAACGGCCCACCAAAGCGACGAUCGAUAGCCGAUCUGAGAGGAUGACCGGCCACAUUGGGACUGAGACACGGCCCAAACUCCUACGGGAGGCAGCAGUGAGGAAUAUUGCACAAUGGGGGAAACCCUGAUGCAGCGACGCCGCGUGAGUGAAGAAGUACUUCGGUAUGUAAAGCUCUAUCAGCAGGGAAGAAAAUGACGGUACCUGAGUAAGAAGCCCCGGCUAACUACGUG
RNAcentral lists this ribosomal RNA (478 nucleotides) under uncultured bacterium. Its description in RNAcentral is "partial 16S ribosomal RNA". It matches the Rfam family "Bacterial small subunit ribosomal RNA", at positions 28 to 507 of the family's 1533-position model. The record is from RNAcentral.